GGGGGUGAAUUAGGUUCGACAUAGGUAGGAAUGGCAUCAGUAGCGAGCCGAGGUCCCCAAUACCUCGUUAAACCUUGGGACAUACAAAUAAGUGCAAACAACAAUUAUUCUUUAGCUGCAGCGUAGCAAGCUAACGCCUCUUUGUUCUUUGCCUGUGAGAACAAUGUAGGUGUCAAAUCUACAGGCUACCUGAAAAGCUUAACCCGGGGCUGUUCAGGGAAAUUUGACGGGUUAGCCGUUUGCUAAUCUGGCUGCAGAGAGGGGCAAAUGGCGAAACUUGAAACUGCAGCUGCGCUCGGAGACACUGGUGUGGUUUCACUUAUGGACAGCGGUGCAACUCCGCUCACCUCCACCA
RNAcentral lists this transfer-messenger RNA (355 nucleotides) under Limnochordia. RNAcentral's name for it is "DTU012 sp012840925 Standard tmRNA". It matches the Rfam family "transfer-messenger RNA". From Rfam's summary of the family: Bacterial tmRNA, also known as 10Sa RNA or SsrA, is named for its dual tRNA and mRNA-like properties. Its role is to liberate the mRNA from a stalled ribosome. To accomplish this part of the tmRNA is used as a reading frame that ends in a translation stop signal. The record is from RNAcentral. RNAcentral also lists the same sequence under 1 other name. Lineage: Bacteria; Bacillati; Bacillota.